AUGGGGGAAUCGCAGAGUAUUCAGGAUUGUUCCAAGUUUGGAGCUUUUGUUGACAGGAUUCCUGGUGCUGAAUUGGGCAAUGUUGGUGACAUGAUGAUCCACUACAUGAGUGGUAGUACUUCACAGGCAGGGGGGGCUAAGAUGAGAAGGCCAUUGCCUUCUCCACCGUUCACAAUGUAUGAUUCUGCGAUGAUUGGAAGCAAUAAGAGUGUUGUGGAGUUUCCUAGUGAUGGUCUACCCGACGAGCAGUUAGCAUCUGCUUUUGGGGACAUGAGCUUAAAGAAUUAUACAGCUGAUUCUCUCACAAGUACCAGAGAUUUUGUGCCAGUAAAUGGGUACUAUCCAUCUGGCCCUGCAAAUUAUCACUCAGAGAUUACGCCUCCAGAUGUUACAUUGAACCCGUCGCUUGUGCCUGCAAUUGUUCAAGAUGAUUUGACGUUCUGUGCUGAACACGUUAAUCAGAAACGAGACGAACUAACUGUUGGACAACAAGAACAAGCUUACAGAUUUCCACCGCUCUUCGAGAAUUUCCCAAGGGGCUCAGUGAUGCACGACCUGGGUAGUUUUUCCAGUGCUCCUUACCACCAAUCAGCUCUGUCAACUUCACCCAUCGAGCAGCAGUUUUAUCUGGAUGUACAGUCUCAGCUGUAUGCACCUUACGGCCAGCCAUUUGAUUCAAACAUCAUGUGGCAGCAUGGUACAGAAACACCAAGAUGCGCGAUGCUGCAACCACAUUAUGUUUACCCACAGUUGCAACAGGUUGCUGGGUCAGAUGUUUGUCGAAGUAGGAGACAUCAACAGGCUGCAGCUUGCACUUCUGCAAACGGCACAUCACAUAUUGAAACACCUAAUAUUCAUCGACAGGGAAUGGGAAUUGAGGAUCCUUACUCUAAUGGUGCUGCCUUUCAGAAGAGAAAUACCCAGCCGAACAGUUUUCAUUGCACACUGUCUGCUGACAGUCCAUGUGGCAGUAGUAACUUCCGUCAGCAAGUUGACAAGUUUUACUCUUUGUCUAAUGGUUUCUCACGCCAUCAGAUUUCAGAUAAUAUCAGCACUGUAAGUUAUCCAGAAAAGCUGCGGAUGAGGGCUGAUGGGGUAAAUUCAGUAAGUACCAAGAGUACUCCUGUAGAUGGUUGCAUUGGUAGGGAUGGAAGAACUAGUAGUGCCCAUAACCAUCUUGAUAUUCAUAGUAAUUAUUCCUUGCACCCCGACACACCAAACUCCCAGCUUCUGCCCUUGGUCAUGAAACCACGUGAGCUGAAUUAUAAUUCAGUUGACGAAGUUGCUGGGCGAAUCUAUAUGUUGGCUAAGGAUCAGAAUGGCUGCCGCUUUCUGCAAAAAGUAUUUGCUCAAGGCAGUCAAGAGGAUGUCGAAAGAGUCUUUGCUGAAAUAAUUGAUCAUAUUGGUCAACUUAUGGUCGAUCCAUUUGGCAACUAUUUAGUGCAGAAGCUGCUUGAAGGGUGCAGUGAUGAUCAACGGAUGCGCAUAAUAUGUGAAGUUACCAAAACGCCUGGAGAUCUUAUUGCAGUUUCUUGCAACAUGCAUGGGACUCGUGCAGUGCAAAAGAUAAUUGAAACUGUAAAUAAUCCGGAUCAAGUUUCUAAGGUUGUGUUUGCACUGAGUCCUGGAGCAAUGCAUUUGAUGCUAGAUCCUAAUGGCAGUCAUGUUGCAAACCGAUGCCUGCAGAAACUGUUACCGGAGUCCAAAGCGUUCCUUCUUGAUGCUGCUACAUUGCACUAUCUUGGACUAGCAACACAUCAACAAGGCUGUUGUAGCAUUCAAAAAUGCAUCGAACAUUCAGAUGAUGAACAGAAGUUCAACUUGUUAAGCAAUAUUAUAUCCAGUGCUCUAACCCUUGCCGAUGAUCGAUUUGGGAACUACGUUAUUCAGUCAAUUCUCAACCACGGCAUUGAAUGGGCGGCAUCGAAAAUAGUUGAUGAGCUGGAGGGUCACUUUGGGUAUCUGUCAAUUCAGAAAUGUGGUAGCCAUGUGGUGGAAAACUGUCUGAAGCGAGCGCCCCAGCACAUGCGUGACAAAAUCAUCCAAGAACUUAUCAACGAUCCCCAGUUGCAGCAUAUUAUGGUGGAUCAGUACGGCAAUUUUGUUAUUCAAACAGCACUUGAACAUUGCAAGGGUCCGCUACAUACCACCUUUGUCGAGGCUAUUAGGCCACACGCUGCUGCAAUGCAAAGCCACAUGUAUGGGAAAAGGGUUCUAUCAAAAACAUACCUCAAGAACAAGCAACACCGAGUUGGAGUUUUGUAG
RNAcentral lists this ribosomal RNA (2265 nucleotides) under Triticum aestivum (bread wheat). RNAcentral's name for it is "partial small subunit ribosomal RNA". The record is from RNAcentral. Lineage: Eukaryota; Viridiplantae; Streptophyta; Magnoliopsida; Poales; Poaceae.